AUGAACGCUGGCGGCGUGCCUAAUACAUGCAAGUCGCGCGAACGGACGAGAAGCUUGCUUCUCUGAUGUUAGCGGCGGACGGGUGAGUAACACGUGGAUAACCUACCUAUAAGACUGGGAUAACUUCGGGAAACCGGAGCUAAUACCGGAUGAUAUUUUGAACCGCAUGGUUCAAAAGUGAAAGACGGUCUUGCUGUCACUUAUAGAUGGAUCCGCGCUACAUUAGCUAGUUGGUAAGGUAACGGCUUACCAAGGCAACGAUGCAUAGCCGACCUGAGAGGGUGAUCGGCCACACUGGAACUGAGACACGGUCCAGACUCCUACGGGAGGCAGCAGUAGGGAAUCUUCCGCAAUGGGCGAAAGCCUGACGGAGCAACGCCGCGUGAGUGAUGAAGGUCUUCGGAUCGUAAAACUCUGUUAUUAGGGAAGAACAUAUGUGUAAGUAACUGUGCACAUCUUGACGGUACCUAAUCAGAAAGCCACGGCUAACUACGUG
RNAcentral lists this ribosomal RNA (496 nucleotides) under uncultured bacterium. Its description in RNAcentral is "partial 16S ribosomal RNA". It matches the Rfam family "Bacterial small subunit ribosomal RNA", at positions 29 to 507 of the family's 1533-position model. The record is from RNAcentral.